RNAcentral lists this ribosomal RNA (836 nucleotides) under Chaetocapnodium tanzanicum. RNAcentral's name for it is "Chaetocapnodium sp. JA-2019d partial large subunit ribosomal RNA". It matches the Rfam family "Eukaryotic large subunit ribosomal RNA", at positions 75 to 935 of the family's 3401-position model. Lineage: Eukaryota; Fungi; Ascomycota; Dothideomycetes; Capnodiales; Capnodiaceae. The record is from RNAcentral.
UUGCCCUAGUAACGGCGAGUGAAGCGGCAAGAGCUCAGAUUUGAAAUCUGGCGCCUUCGGCGUCCGAGUUGUAAUCUGUAGAGGAUGCUAUUGGGUAGCCACCGGUCUAAGUCCCCUGGAACGGGGCGUCGCAGAGGGUGAGAAUCCCGUAUGUGACCGGAAGGGCGCCCUCCACAUAGCUCCUUCGACGAGUCGAGUUGUUUGGGAAUGCAGCUCUAAAUGGGAGGUAAAUUCCUUCUAAAGCUAAAUACCGGCCAGAGACCGAUAGCGCACAAGUAGAGUGAUCGAAAGAUGAAAAGCACUUUGGAAAGAGAGUUAAAAAGCACGUGAAAUUGUUGAAAGGGAAGCGCUUGCAACCAGACUUGUUGGCGGUGUUCCGCCGGUCUUCUGACCGGUGUACUCACCGUCUGCAGGCCAGCAUCAUCUGGGGCCGCCGGAUAAAAGCGGGGGGAAUGUGGCUCCUCCGGGAGUGUUAUAGCCCCUCGUGCAAUACGGCGUGCCUCGGGUGAGGUCCGCGCUUCGGCUAGGAUGCUGGCGUAAUGGUCGUAAGCGGCCCGUCUUGAAACACGGACCAAGGAGUCUAACAUCUAUGCGAGUGUUCGGGUGUCAAACCCCUACGCGUAAUGAAAGUGAACGGAGGUGGGAGCCUUAGGGUGCACCAUCGACCGAUCCUGAUGUCUUCGGAUGGAUUUGAGUAAGAGCAUAGCUGUUGGGACCCGAAAGAUGGUGAACUAUGCCUGGAUAGGGUGAAGCCAGAGGAAACUCUGGUGGAGGCUCGCAGCGGUUCUGACGUGCAAAUCGAUCGUCAAAUUUGGGUAUAGGGGCGAAAGACUAAU